UAUAGAGGUGAAUUAUAUUAUAUUUGUUUCCUUCACAGUACCUAGAAUAAUGUAGACAGAGGUUCCAUCAAUGCUGGCUGCCUCCUCCAAAAUGUCAAUGUACUGACCGUCACCUUCCAGAGCAAAGAGAAGUAGGAUGAUGUUCUGCUCAGAUCUGGAGAGUGAGAAGCAGGACAAAGAAGAGAUGUUAGCAGUGGAUGGCCCAGUGUGAAGGGAGAGAAGGCGCUUCUAUCAUCUGGUGAUAGGAUGGGGGCUUCAGAAAGAAGCAGGAAGAGCUCUGCGAAUAUUAGAUGGCUCAGUGCUGAGUUCAGGAAGUCACUGUUGUGUUCUUAAAGCGGCUAUGCCAGAGGACUUUGGAGACCCGGAUGCUUCAUUCAAUGAACUACAAAUGGGCCAACUUUUCCAGAGAGAUUCAGGAAGGAUGACUAACUUGGUGUCAGCAGCUCAGAAAUGAAAAAUCGGUGAAGUCCGGCCUGAUGAAGUAACUGCUUGAGUUAGUGCUUGGCCACUGUCCCUAACUAGAGCCAGUCCUCAUGAUGAGAAAGUAAAGAGGAAGAGAAGCAGAUGGG
RNAcentral lists this long non-coding RNA (569 nucleotides) under Rhinopithecus bieti (black snub-nosed monkey). RNAcentral's name for it is "lncRNA (ENSRBIG00000046439.1)". Lineage: Eukaryota; Metazoa; Chordata; Mammalia; Primates; Cercopithecidae. The record is from RNAcentral.